CGGAGGAAAAGAAACUAACAAGGAUUCCCCUAGUAGCGGCGAGCGAAGCGGGAACAGCCCGGUGUGAAAAUCUCUUCGGAGAAUUGUAUUCGAGUGUCCUUGGGUGGUCAGUGCGGGCAAGUCGCUUGGAAUGGCGCGCCAUGGAGGGUGAGAGCCCCGUCCAUCCCGCACAGGAUCCAUCCGCACAAGGGCGCUUCAACCGAGUCGGGUAGCUUGGGAAUGCUGCUCUAAUUGGUGGUAAAUCUCAUCAAAGGCUAAAUAGUGGUGGGAGACCGAUAGCGAACAAGUACCGUGAGGGAAAGAUGGAAAGUACUUUGAAAAGAGAGUGAAAAGAACUUGAAACCGUCACGGGGGAAGCGAAUUGCGUGAGUGGUGGUGCCGCUUGUUCAGCGCCUCUGGCGUGCAUUCUGGCGGCACCUUGUCGUCGUGGCUGGCUGGCGCGUGAUUUUGACGCGUCGGCUGGUGAGGGCUCCCGUUUUUUCGGUGAGGACGACGACAAAAUGACGCAAUACGACCCGUCUUGAAACACGGACCAAGGAGUCUAGCACGGCUGCGAGUCGAAGGGUGUAAAACCCAAGGGCGCAGUGAAAGCGAAAUUAUAAGCAAGUUGGGGAGGCGUUGCGUUUUUAACAAAAUGUCCUACCUUGAGCACUUGUGCUGGGACCCGAAAGAUGGUGAACUAUGCCGGAGUAGGGCAAAGCCAGAGGAAACUCUGGUGGAGGCUCGUAGCGAUGCUGACGUGCAAAUCGCUCGUCGAACUUGGGUAUAGGGGCGAAAGACUAAUCGAACUAUCUAGUAGCUGGUUCCCUCCGAAGUUUCUCUCAGGAUAGCGGGCCGACAUAUGUUGUUUUGUGCGGUAAAGCGAAUGAUUAGUGCAUUUGGGGUCCGAAGGACUUCAGGCGAUUCUCAAACUUUAAAUGCGCAAGGGGGUGGCUGCUUAAUUGAGCCUACUCUUCGAAAAACGUCGGCCCUGUGGGCCACUUUUGGUAAGCAGAACUGGCGAUAAGGGAUGAACCUUAAGCGCGGUUAAGGCGCCGCAUUGCCCGCUUAUAGACCCCACAAAAGGUGUUGAUUCAUUUAGACAGCAGGACGGUGGCCAUGGAAGUCGGAAUCCGCUAAGGAGUGUGUAACAACUCACCUGCCGAAUGAAUUAGCCCUGAAAAUGGAUGGCGCUGAAGCGGGCAGCCGACACCGCGCCGUUCCGGCGAGACGAUGCCGGGAUGAGUAGGAGGGCGUGGCGGUCAGUGACGCAGGCGAGGGUGCAGACCCCGCUGAAACGGCCGCUAGUGCAGAUCUUGGUGGUAGUAGCAAAUAUUCAAGCGAGAUCCUUGAAGGGCGAAGCGGGGAAGGGUUCCACGCAAACAUUGAUUGGGCGUGGGUGAGUCGUUCCUAAGCCGAGUGGCAAUUGCUAAGUAGCGGCGAAAGGGAAGCGGGUUAAAAUUCCCGCACACGGAUAUGGAGGCGGCGACGCAAGCAGAGCUGAAUACGCUGGCGAGGGCGCCGGGCAGAGUUGUCUUUUCUGUUUGACCGGCAUCGCGCAGUGUGGAAUCCGCUUAUCGGGAGAAACACGCGCGGGGAGGGGCAGAGCGUCAGGUCUUUUCUGGCGUCCGGCUCGCCCUCGACGGCCCCUGAAAAUUCAGCCGCGAACUUAAUUUCAUGCUGUGACGUACCGAUAACCGCAUCAGGUCCCCAAGGUGAACAGCCUCUGCUCAAUAUGAACAAUGCAGGUAAGGGAAGUCGGCAAAAUAGACCCGUAACUUUGGGAAAAGGGUUGGCUCUAGUGGAGCGGGGGUUUUCAAAGGGUGCUCACCUGUGCUCGUCGCAGGGCGAUCGUGGCUAGCUUUCGCUGGAAACUUUUGCUCAGCGCCUUGCGCGGGGGACGCUACUCGCCCUCAGCAUGCUCCAGACUAGAACUGCAACGGGCAAAGGGAAUCCGACUGUUUAAUUAAAACAAAGCAUUGCGAAGGCCGUGGCCGGUGAUGACGCAAUGUGAUUUCUGCC
Molecule: ribosomal RNA, 2001 nt
Filed under: Scinaia furcellata
Lineage: Eukaryota; Rhodophyta; Florideophyceae; Nemaliales; Scinaiaceae
Description: eukaryotic LSU rRNA
Rfam family: Eukaryotic large subunit ribosomal RNA
Source: RNAcentral